UCUUGGUGGUUUUUAGUGAUUCUUGUUGAAGUGCGUGAGGAAAGUGUGGUCAUGUUCUAGGGUUGAUAAAUCUUUUGUCAACCUUGGAAAAUAUCAUCAAUUUCCUUUCAAAUUCUACGUUUUUGUUCUUUUGAGUUACAUAAUGGUGGGACUGAUUUGUCUUUAUUAUUUCUUAAAUUGUACCCAUCUUCAGAGAACAAGUUUCUUGUGCCUUUUGGGGCCUCAUGAUCGAGUCAAUUUGUUACUUUGUGGGGAUCUCUGAUGUCGCGUUGUCUAUAGUGUGGUGCCAUUCAAAGGUCAUCCGAAUGGGAAAAGCUCCUAAGUAGAGGUUCGGGUGCAGUUUUUAUCGGGAGGUACAACUCCCAAGGUCUCCGCAAAAGGCCCUCAAGGAGGACCCAAAUUCUUCCUAGACACUGCCUUGGCAGUGUCUACCUACGCCUCGCAAACGACGACCAGUAGGUGUCACGCCCCAUCGAUGGGUGGGAGUCGUUCCUACUUAUUCUGGGAGACAAAUCAACCAAUUCCAAACCUCCUACCAAUGAAGUCCAGAAGAACGGUCGUCGAUGGUCUUCAGGGGGCAUAGGUUGCUCCGUCGAUGCAACCUACAACUCCACUGCCAGGUGCACUGUUUCAUUAAGGGGUGAAAUGGGAAAUUCACCCCACGUUCUAACCUGAUCCUAGGAAUUUAUUUUAUGGGUUUUUGGGUAUAUUAAGUUGGUUAUUAUGAUCAAAACCCCAUUCCCAACUCAAUUCCCUUCCCACAACAAAAACCUCUCUAGAAACCUCCAUUGGAGAUGAAGCUCAAGAACUGCUUGUAUAUUGGACUGUGAUGGUUUCUUCAUAAAUUUUUCAUGGUUUCUUAUAUAAUGAGGUAUGGUGAUACUUUAUCCUUA
Molecule: long non-coding RNA, 893 nt
Organism: Solanum pennellii
Lineage: Eukaryota; Viridiplantae; Streptophyta; Magnoliopsida; Solanales; Solanaceae
Exons: 3
Source: RefSeq, a predicted model, not a curated record